RNAcentral lists this ribosomal RNA (169 nucleotides) under Chiasmodon harteli. RNAcentral describes it as "partial small subunit ribosomal RNA". Lineage: Eukaryota; Metazoa; Chordata; Actinopteri; Scombriformes; Chiasmodontidae. The record is from RNAcentral.
CACCGCGGUUAUACGAGAGGCCCAAGUUGACAGAUGCCGGCGUAAAGCGUGGUUAAAGAAAUGUUAAAACUAAAGUCGAAUAUCUUCAAAGCAGUUACACGCAUCCGAAGGCCCGAAGCCCUAACACGAAAGUGGCUUUAUUAAACUUGACCCCACGAAAGCUAUGAUA